RNAcentral lists this unclassified non-coding RNA (262 nucleotides) under uncultured Physalacria. RNAcentral describes it as "sequence contains ITS1". The record is from RNAcentral. Lineage: Eukaryota; Fungi; Basidiomycota; Agaricomycetes; Agaricales; Physalacriaceae.
UUGAAACAAACUGCGACUCGCGGAUUGUUGCUGACCCUGUUAAGUUAACUUGGGUAUGUGCACGUCUGCGGUUGCUUUUAAAACUUCAUCCACCUGUGCACCACUGUAGGCCUAGAUACCUCUCACGAGCGAUCGCUGCGUGGUUUGGAGGGUGUUGCUCUCUCUCUUGCGACUCCCUUUGUCUUCUAGGUCUAUGUUCACUUAUACCCUCUGUAUGUUUUGAAUGUCUCGUUUACUGGACUACGUCCUUUAAAACUCAAUA